GGCGAACGGGUGAGUAAUACAUCGGAACGUGCCCGAUCGUGGGGGAUAACGAAGCGAAAGCUUUGCUAAUACCGCAUACGAUCUACGGAUGAAAGCGGGGGAUCUUCGGACCUCGCGCGGACGGAGCGGCCGAUGGCAGAUUAGGUAGUUGGUGGGAUAAAAGCUUACCAAGCCGACGAUCUGUAGCUGGUCUGAGAGGAUGAUCAGCCACACUGGGACUGAGACACGGCCCAGACCCCUACGGGAGGCAGCAGUGGGGAAUUUUGGACAAUGGGCGCAAGCCUGAUCCAGCCAUGCCGCGUGCAGGAUGAAGGCCUUCGGGUUGUAAACUGCUUUUGUACGGAACGAAAAGGUGCCUUCUAAUAAAGGGCGCUCAUGACGGUACCGUAAGAAUAAGCACCGGCUAACUACGUGCCAGCAGCCGCGGUAAUACGUAGGGUGCGAGCGUUAAUCGGAAUUACUGGGCGUAAAGCGUGCGCAGGCGGUUUUGUAAGACAGAGGUGAAAUCCCCGGGCUCAACCUGGGAACUGCCUUUGUGACUGCAAGGCUGGAGUGCGGCAGAGGGGGAUGGAAUUCCGCGUGUAGCAGUGAAAUGCGUAGAUAUGCGGAGGAACACCGAUGGCGAAGGCAAUCCCCUGGGCCUGCACUGACGCUCAUGCACGAAAGCGUGGGGAGCAAACAGGAUUAGAUACCCUGGUAGUCCACGCCCUAAACGAUGUCAACUGGUUGUUGGGAAUUAACUUUCUCAGUAACGAAGCUAACGCGUGAAGUUGACCGCCUGGGGAGUACGGCCGCAAGGUUAAAACUCAAAGGAAUUGA
Molecule: ribosomal RNA, 819 nt
Filed under: uncultured bacterium
Lineage: Bacteria
Description: bacterial SSU rRNA
Rfam family: Bacterial small subunit ribosomal RNA
Source: RNAcentral